This 420-nucleotide ribosomal RNA is filed under the name uncultured bacterium. Its description in RNAcentral is "partial 16S ribosomal RNA". It matches the Rfam family "Bacterial small subunit ribosomal RNA", at positions 360 to 772 of the family's 1533-position model. The record is from RNAcentral.
AAUAUUGGACAAUGGGGGCAACCCUGAUCCAGCCAUGCAGCGUGUGUGAAGAAGGUCUUCGGAUUGUAAAGAACUUUAAGUAGGGAGGAAGGGAUUUAGGUUAAUACCCUGAAGUUUUGACGUUACCAACAGAAUAAGCACCGGCUAACUCUGUGCUAGCAUCCGCGGUAAUACUGAGGGUGCAAGCGUUAAACGGAAUUACUGGGCGUAAAGCGCGCGUAGGUGGUACAGUAAGAUGGGUGUGCAAUCCCCGGGCUUAACCUGGGAACUGCUUUCAUAACUGCUGAGCUAGAGUACGGUAGAGGGUAGUGGAAUUCCCUGUGUAGCGGUGAAAUGCGUAGAUAUAGGAAGGAACACCAGUGGCGAAGGCGACUACCUGGACUGAUACUGACACUGAGGUGCGAAAGCGUGGGGAGCAAA